UAGGGAAUUUUGGGCAAUGGGCGAAAGCCUGACCCAGCAACGCCGCGUGUGGGAUGAAGGCCCUCGGGUCGUAAACCACUGUCAGGAGGAAAGAAGAGUCGGCCGGAUAAUACUCGGUCGACCUGACGGUACCUCCAAAGGAAGCACCGGCUAACUCCGUGCCAGCAGCCGCGGUAAUACGGAGGGUGCAAGCGUUGUUCGGAAUUACUGGGCGUAAAGCGCGCGUAGGUGGUCGAGUAAGUCGAAUGUGAAAGCCCCGGGCUCAACCCGGGAAGUGCAUCCGAAACUGCUCGACUAGAGUCCCGGAGAGGAAGGCAGAAUUCCCAAUGUAGGGGUGAAAUCCGUAGAUAUUGGGAGGAAUACCGGUGGCGAAGGCGGCCUUCUGGACGGUGACUGACACUCAGACGCGAAAAGCGUGGGGAGCAAACAGGAUUAGAUACCCACGUAGUCCCUGAGCGGGCUGGCAAGGCGCAU
RNAcentral lists this ribosomal RNA (474 nucleotides) under uncultured bacterium. RNAcentral describes it as "bacterial SSU rRNA". It matches the Rfam family "Bacterial small subunit ribosomal RNA", at positions 355 to 825 of the family's 1533-position model. The record is from RNAcentral.